GUCCUCGGGGUGUGCCGGAGGCACGCGACCCUGCGAAGGUCGAAGACCAGGUUCGAUUCCUGGCGGGGAUA
Molecule: transfer RNA, 71 nt
Filed under: Planctomycetia bacterium
Lineage: Bacteria; Pseudomonadati; Planctomycetota; Planctomycetia
Description: tRNA-Arg
Rfam family: tRNA
About the family: Transfer RNA (tRNA) molecules are approximately 80 nucleotides in length. Their secondary structure includes four short double-helical elements and three loops (D, anti-codon, and T loops).
Source: RNAcentral